RNAcentral lists this ribosomal RNA (1170 nucleotides) under Bursaphelenchus xylophilus (pine wood nematode). Its description in RNAcentral is "SSU rRNA". It matches the Rfam family "Eukaryotic small subunit ribosomal RNA", at positions 576 to 1784 of the family's 1831-position model. The record is from RNAcentral. Lineage: Eukaryota; Metazoa; Nematoda; Chromadorea; Rhabditida; Aphelenchoididae.
GCGGUAAUUCCAGCUCUCGUAAUGUAUAGAAUUAUUGUUGCGAUUAAAAAGUUCGUAGUUGGAUUGCAACGCAGGUAUGGGUCCACCCUCUGGGUGCGUACUCAAUGCUUGCAUUUUGCAUGUUUUUGUGGCGUCGCUUCGGUGGCGUUCAUGAUGCAUGCAGGAUUACUUUGAACGGCUCAAGUGCUUAAAGCAAGUCUUAUGACUGAAUACCGGUGCAUGGAAUAAUGGAACAAGGUUGUGGCUGAGUUUUAUUGGUUUUGUCGGCUAAAACAAUGGUUAACAGGAACAGCCGGGGGCAUUCGUAUCGCUGCGCGAGAGGUGAAAUUCGUGGACCGUAGCGAGACGUCCUACAGCGAAGGCAUUUGCCAAGAGUGUUUUCAUUAAUCAAGAACGAAAGUCAGAGGUUCGAAGGCGAUUAGAUACCGCUCUAGUUCUGACCGUAAACGAUGCCAACUGUCGAUCCGCUUGUGGAUUUUAUUCAUGAGCGGGGAGAUUUCCGGAAACGAAAGUUUUUCGGUUUCGGGGGAAGUAUGGUUGCAAAGCUGAAACUUAAAGGAAUUGACGGAAGGGCACCACCAGGAGUGGAGCUUGCGGCUUAAUUUGACUCAACACGGGAAAUCUCACCCGGCCAGUACAUCGUAAGGAUUGACAGACUGACAGCUCUUUCAUGAUUCGGUGAAUGGUGGUGCAUGGCCGUUCUUAGUUCGUGGAUUGAUUUGUCUGGUUUAUUCCGAUAACGAACGAGACUUUAACUAUUAAAUAGUGCGCAUGUUGCUUCGGCUGCGUGUGAUCACUUCUUAAAGGAAUUUGUGGUUUUCAACCUCAAGAAAUUGAGCAAUAACAGGUCUGUGAUGCCCUUAGAUGUUCGGGGCCGCACGCGUGCUACAAUGGUGGUAACAGCGUGAUUGUCCUUUUCCGACAGGAAUUGGCAAACAGUUGAGAUAUUAUUAUGGCUGGAAUUGAGUGUUGAAAUUUUCUCUCAUGAACGAGGAAUUCCAAGUAAAUGUGAGUCAUUAACUUGCAUUGAUUACGUCCCUGCCCUUUGUACACACCGCCCGUCGCUGCCCGGGACUGAGUUACUUCGAGAAAACUAGGGAUCGCUGGAGUUCGAUGUUUCGGCAUUGUCUUUGGUGAGAACUAGUUUAAUCGCAGUGGCUUGAACCGGCA